RNAcentral lists this transfer RNA (61 nucleotides) under Otobius lagophilus. RNAcentral describes it as "tRNA-Phe". Lineage: Eukaryota; Metazoa; Arthropoda; Arachnida; Ixodida; Argasidae. The record is from RNAcentral.
AUUCUUGUAGUUUAGAUUAAAAUGUAACGUUGAAAAUGUUAAGACAUAUUUUUUAAGAAUA